Long non-coding RNA from Leopardus geoffroyi (Geoffroy's cat), 339 nucleotides. RefSeq lists it as uncharacterized. The transcript is spliced from 2 exons. Lineage: Eukaryota; Metazoa; Chordata; Mammalia; Carnivora; Felidae. The record is from RefSeq and is a predicted model, not a curated record.
AGGAGAUAUUGGGCAAGGCGACGUGGGGAGAGCCCAGACACCCGAAGGAAUGAACUGCAAUGCAUCUCAGCUGGGUGGCACCGAGUGAGAGACAGAGGAACCGGAGAGACAGAGCAAGAAUCUGAAGGAGGCUCCGCGCUCACCACAGACCCGGAUGCGACGUGGGGCUUGAUCCCACGACCCUGGGAUCAUGAUCUGAACCGAAAUCAAGAGUCGGAUGCUCCGAGGGGCCCCUGUGCUGUAUGUUUUUAAACCUGACGGUAUUUCAUUUCAAGAAAUAUAUGUAUUUAAUUUUUAAUUGUAGUAAAAUAUACAGUAAUAGAAAAUUGACCAUCUUAA